Molecule: long non-coding RNA, 253 nt
Filed under: Chinchilla lanigera (long-tailed chinchilla)
Lineage: Eukaryota; Metazoa; Chordata; Mammalia; Rodentia; Chinchillidae
Description: lncRNA (ENSCLAG00000022560.1)
Source: RNAcentral
AUGUGUUUCCACGGCUGUGCCUCUUCUGUCCUGAUACCUCCCUUGAAAAUACUAGUUGUCCUCACAUGUGAUAGCAUGACUUAUCAAAACAAUAACAGCAAAAACAAGGCAGCUGGGAAGGAAAUCACGCCACCCAUGGACACAAAGAAGAGUUGCAAGGAGGAGGAGGUGGUAGCUGGGGAUGGGCAGGCAGAAGAGGAUUUCUGUUUGGACAGUGGAGCCUCAGAAUGAAAGAGAUGCGGUCCAAUAAGCA